UUAUAAGCAAACAAAAUACAAAGUAAAUCCACCUAUAUUAAUGUAAUCAACUGUAAUUAAAACAGAUUAUUUAAGAAUAACACUUAACAAGUAUUAUCAUUAUGUAAUUAAUAACUGAUUUAUUCUUUUUCUAGAUCUAUGAUAACUUCAUUUCUAUAGAGAGAAUUUCAUCAAACAACUUGUCAGUUUUAUUCAAGUUCAAGGUAACUUGCUUCAUGAAAAGAUUCAAAAAGGCAAAGAUGGGAAUUUCUGUUAAAGAUUUCUUUUACGUUCAAAAAAAUUUCUUGAUUCGGGUAAGUUUAUACGUUGAUAUAUUACCUCUGAGCAAUGAGCCAAUUGUUCUUAUUUCCAGGUGGUCAGUGCUUUAUACUCCAUUUUUUCUUCGGUGUUGCAAGUCACAGGAGUGAUGAACAAACAUAAGUCAUGUGUCAAAACGUCUACAUUCGAGUCUACCGUAGAAUCCAACAUCAAUUUUAUUUUUUCGGCUAUUAUAUCAUCGAACAGAGUACGUUCUCGGCGGUAAUAAUAUUGUAAUCGUGUCGUACAAUGACGCUCCGAGUUUUCAAUAUUUCGACGUCUUGACUCACCUGAAUUCAAAAAUAUCAAAAAGCUGAUACUGUAUGUAUACGUGUGGAAUAUCGUAUAAAUUUGCAUUGGACUCGUCGAAUAUCUGUGGAUGACAUAAAGAUUAAGAACCGACACUUGACACGGUAGCUUGUAUAUAGGAGGUAUCGAUGUUAUUAAAUUGAUAAGAUUAAUAAUCGAGAAAAAAUAAAGAAUCAUGUAUUACAUCUGUAUUGGAGUGUGGUUUAAUCAAAAUUUUACUCGUUUUUGAUAUGUAUAAACCCAUCUUUACUCUCGAAAUUUAGCCUUUUGCCUACUUAUAAUAAGUAGAAAUAAAAGUCAUUUUUCACAUAAAAUCUCAUAACGAAUGUUGCCAUAUAUAACUUAAACUUUGUGCUACUGUGUAUUAUUCUUUCUGAAACAAAGUAUUUCUCAGUGUCAAAGUUAAGCAACUCGUUUACUUUCGUCGUUUAUCCUGCGAAUAAAAUAGGCGUAUAUAGAAAAAUUUUAUGCUUUUCAAUAAUGUAUAUUUAGAAUUGUAUUACAUAAUUAGUAGAGCAAGUGCAGCAGGAUAACAUUUUAAGCUUACGUCAACAAUUCAAAUUUAAUAUAAUUACAAAUUUAUUAUACAAAAUGACACAGACAAGUCUUAAAACACACAGUAGUGCUCUACAGUAUAAUUCCCGUUAGUAUUCAACCGCAAACUUUAGUUAAAUUCUUAAAAUGUGAAAAAAUAUGUAAUUCGUGAAAAAUUUUAGUGUAAAUAGAAUUUGUAAUAAUUUCUGUUUUGACAGAUCUACAAGAUCGAGUAAAACACUAAAGUUUUAUGAGUGACACAAAGUCGAAGGAAACAUUAAUUUAAAUUAAAAAAAGUAUUUUUUCACUUAAUUAGGGGAGACCGGGGCAAGAUCGGCAUGUUAAGCU
Molecule: long non-coding RNA, 1488 nt
Organism: Centruroides sculpturatus (bark scorpion)
Lineage: Eukaryota; Metazoa; Arthropoda; Arachnida; Scorpiones; Buthidae
Exons: 3
Source: RefSeq, a predicted model, not a curated record